RNAcentral lists this ribosomal RNA (866 nucleotides) under Phormidium sp. BTA975. RNAcentral describes it as "bacterial SSU rRNA". It matches the Rfam family "Bacterial small subunit ribosomal RNA", at positions 555 to 1421 of the family's 1533-position model. The record is from RNAcentral. Lineage: Bacteria; Bacillati; Cyanobacteriota; Cyanophyceae; Oscillatoriales; Oscillatoriaceae.
UGGGCGUAAGCGUCCGCAGGCGGCUAGAUAAGUCUGCUUUCAAAGAGGGGGCUCAACCCCAUAAAGGGAGUGGAAACUGUUUAGCUAGAGUAUGGUAGGGGCAGAGGGAAUUCCCAGUGUAGCGGUGAAAUGCGUAGAUAUUGGGAAGAACACCAGUGGCGAAGGCGCUCUGCUGGACCGAGACUGACGCUGAGGGACGAAAGCUAGGGGAGCGAAAGGGAUUAGAUACCCCUGUAGUCCUAGCUGUAAACGAUGGACACUAGGUGUUGCGCGUAUCGACCCGUGCAGUGCCGUAGCUAACGCGUUAAGUGUCCCGCCUGGGGAGUACGCACGCAAGUGUGAAACUCAAAGGAAUUGACGGGGGCCCGCACAAGCGGUGGAGUAUGUGGUUUAAUUCGAUGCAACGCGAAGAACCUUACCAGGGUUUGACAUCCCUCGAAUCUCUGUGAAAGCGGAGAGUGCCUUCGGGAGCGAGGAGACAGGUGGUGCAUGGCUGUCGUCAGCUCGUGUCGUGAGAUGUUGGGUUAAGUCCCGCAACGAGCGCAACCCACGUUUUCAGUUGCCAGCAUUAAGUUGGGGACUCUGGAGAGACUGCCGGUGACAAACCGGAGGAAGGUGUGGACGACGUCAAGUCAUCAUGCCCCUUACAUCCUGGGCUACACACGUACUACAAUGGUUAGGACAAAGGGCAGCGAAGCCGCGAGGUGGAGCAAAACUCAUAAACCUAGCCUCAGUUCAGAUUGCAGGCUGCAACUCGCCUGCAUGAAGGAGGAAUCGCUAGUAAUCGCAGGUCAGCAUACUGCGGUGAAUACGUUCCCGGGCCUUGUACACACCGCUAAGCCUCUAACGUGGGAGUUGGCCACGCC